This is a long non-coding RNA of Manis pentadactyla (Chinese pangolin), 7440 nucleotides long. RefSeq lists it as uncharacterized. The transcript is spliced from 3 exons. The record is from RefSeq and is a predicted model, not a curated record. NCBI's taxonomy places the organism in Eukaryota, Metazoa, Chordata, Mammalia, Pholidota, Manidae.
CCUAGCCCGUCCCAUCCUGCGGCUGCGGGAAGGCCUGGGGGUGGCAGAGUGAGAAGCCUGGUCUUUCCAGCCGCACUGCCCUCCGGGUCCACCCUUGUGUGGGCCUGGCCGCUGUGCACUCCCCUGCCUGUCCCGGCACCUGCCCCUCCCCCUUCCUGACCCUGCGUGUCUGUCCUGGGACCCCAUCCUCUCCCAUCCUCCCGAAUAGGAAGUCCCCAGUCGUCAGCCCCCCCAUGGGAAUCCAAAGCUGAGUGACCUGUUGGGCUCUGCUGUGGGCUCAUGGGGCUCCCGCUCGGGGCCUGGCUCUGAGGCUGAGGCCACUGCUGGGACAUCCUCCAGCUCUGCAGGAGCUGAAGCAGGUGACACCAGCCGUCUUGCCAGCACAGGGGUCUCAGGGAGCUCCUGGAUGGGCUCUAGCCGUGAAGCCGGCCCUCCCCGUGUCUCUGGAGCCAGCUGCCUCUGCCGUGGGUCUGGAGCGGGACACAGAGAAAGGGUCACCGUGGGCCUGAUUCCCCGCGCCUUACAAUGACAGAAGAGCCCUCAGUGCCUUGAAGGGAACCCCAGUCCGGGAAGCCCACCCUAGACGGUCCCCUGGCUGCAGCCCCUCACCUUCCAGCACCGCCACCGUGGGCCCCAGGUGCUCCUCCUGGACCAAGUGUUGGAGGACUUGGCCCACCAGGGUGGAUGAAGGCUGGCUGCCGUGGAGGUCGCUGGGCACACUCUCAGGCUCCCAGGCAAGGCGCCUAGCCCGUCCCAUCCUGCGGCUGGGGUAAGGCCUGGGGGUGGCAGAGUGAGAAGCCUGGUCUUUCCAGCCACACUGCCCUCCGGGUCCACCCUUGUGUGGGCCUGGCCGCUGUGCACUCCCCUGCCUGUCCAGGCACCUGCCCCUCCCCCUUCCUGACCCUGCGUGUCUGUCCUGGGACCCCAUCCUCUCCCAUCCUCCCGAAUAGGAAGUCCCCAGUCGUCAGCCCACCCAUGGGAACCCAAAGAUGAGUGACCUGCUGGGCUCUGCUGUGCUCCCCCAACCCCAAGCCCCAAACUCCUCCUCCCCCCAUUCUGUGAGAUGGGCAGCACCUCCUCUGGACCCAGUGAACGCUCACAUUUUCAAUUCCCCCUCUGGCCCCUCGUCAUGCCCCCUGUUGCUUGAGGAGGCCGUGACGGCAUCAGUCGUGACACUCCCUGGCCGUGACCUGCGGAUGAUGCCUGAAGUGACUGCCCGAGUCCACCCGGGAUGGGGUCCCAGUAUUGUGUCUGCUUCCUUCACUCAGUUGUGCUAAGUGUCCCCAAAGGGUCUGCACAAAGUGGGCACUGCGUACCUAUUGUUGCUUAAGGAAGUCCUACCAGAACUUCUCCAGGUACCCCUCUCCUGCCCCCAGAGGUCCCUCAUGUGGCGACAGUGAGGACAAGGACCCGGCCCAAACACAGGGAAUCGCGAGCCUCCGUUCCAAAGGCUGCUUCCCAUGUGCUUUUCCAAAUGAGCCAGGCUCCAGGCCACUGACGGGUGAGGCCAAAGGCUUUCAUCGGGUACAGAGAAGUAAGCCCCGAAGUGGCCCAGCUUGGCCGGCAGUCCUUUACCAUGCCGGGCACCAGGGGAACCCCUCUAAGGCUCCUCCCAUGUUCCCCAUGGGCACCCUAACAGGCUGAUCGCCAGCCUCCCUGCCUGUCAGAGGAGCACGCUGAGGCUCAGACACGUGGGGACACGCAAGACACACCGCGGGCUGUGGGCAGAGGCCCGACUGGCCAAGGAGGGGUUGGGUGCUCACCGGGGGAGCCGCUGGCCCGUGGUCAGCUGGUCAGCAUCAUCGGGUGGGAGUGUGGCCUCGGGAGCGCUCCGGCUGGUGUUUGGAGCUGGUUCCACUCGUGCCUUUCGCUUUCUCCACUUCCUCCUCACACCUAUCCAGGGAUCCCUGCACUUGCGGACCUCAGUCCCAUGGACAGAUGGCUCAGGUUCAGGCUAAGGGGGGAAACAGGGAUAUAGUCAGUGGGAAACCCAGGAAUCACCAGGACGAGGCAGGUUUGCAGCUCACCCGAGAGCCCCCAGCCCCCUGGGGUGCGAGCAAGGAGAGGCACGGGGUGCCCCCGGGAACAAGGUUCCAGGCCCUCUGGAGUGGUCCUGUCAGCCACUCUCGUGGGGAAGCCCUGGGAGGGAAGGGAUCCUGGGUGUAGACAGCCUGCCCCAGGUCCAGGGAGAUGGAGUAGGUGAAUCCAUCCACCAGCUCCUCCACGCUCCCCAGGGUGGGGCUCUGCAAAGCCGGCACCUGGUAGCUGGGGAGGAGGCACCCAUGGUUGCGUGGACCUCCCCACAGGGGGCAAUGUGGGCCCCCAACUCUGCCCCCGAGAUCAGGCCCACAGGGCCAUCUGCAUAGACAUCCAGUCCCUCAGGGAAGAGGAGGACACCCCUGGGCUCAGGAUUAACAUGUGGGUGGAAGUACCUGGUCCCAACACUCACCUCCAUGUCCUGAAUCAUGAGACCAGAGCUGUGACACUGACUGCCCCCUGCUCCCCAGCCUUCAGUCCCACCCAUGCCCCAUGCCCACCGCACACACACAAGGGGCCUGGGGAAACGUCAGCCAGGAUGGGUCACACUCGUGGCCUGGCCCUGGAAUGGCCCGCUCUGGGCUGCCCUGUGUUACCUCGGGGCUCCUCGGGAUACACGGAUAGAGGCGUUGGAGGAGGUCACUGAGCCAACGCCCACAGCGAGCAGGAAGACUCUCCCUCUCGGCUUCCCUGACUCCCUCGCUUUCAGAAGGCUCCGCACAACAAGACCGCAUGUUGCUCUGUCGAGCGCCUCCGGUCAAGUGAGCUGGACUGGGUUCUGCGACCAGGAGCUGGGUUCCAUCCGUCCGGGUCACAAUUGAGUUCCCUGUCCUGCUGAGGCCACAGCACCUCCCAGGACCUGCCCAACAUCCCAACCUGCACAGGGAGGGUCACGCCAGACAUUUCUCCCUAAGGACAUCCCCAGGGAUACAUGGAUGACACCUCCAGCUCCUGGGGACUGGCGUCACAUGUGUCUGACACACAGACUCAGAGAUGGAAGAAUGCCAACCAGGCUUGGCAUGGAGCAUGGAACACCACGCAGGUCAGGCCGGGGUCCAGGCCGUGUGAUCUUGGGCAAGUCAGUCCCCUUCUAGGCCGUUUUCAGGUGUGCACCUUGAAGGGGCAGCAAUGAGAGGAGAUCCAGGUGUUGCCAUCUACUGCCUUCCACCUUCCACAGGUCCAGGCUGCUCUCAAAUCUGAAAUCCGCACCAGGCGUGUGUGUGUGUUUGGGGUGGUGGUGCAGAUACAGCAUCUUAUUCUUCACCUUAGAAGGGAUAGCUUGGCAUGCCCACAAGAUAGAUUUCUAGUAACUUCUCUAAGAUGAAAGGUCCCUCAAUUUUUGUUGGAUUUAGUCCACCUUCUGACAUGUGACUGCGCUGUCAAUAUGCCUAGAUGAGCUGUACUUCCUGAUCACUGGGUCCAGUCAGCCUAGUACCAUCAAUGGGAUGGGCCAGUGUGACGGCUUCUGGAAGAAAAAGGAGAUGAAGCUUCCUUCUGUCUAAAUGACAACCCAAGUCUGGAGGUCUGAUAUGCCUCUGAGAUAGUUUUCUCUCCUUGCCGGCUGAAAGCUAACUGCCCUGCUGGUCUUUACUCACAGGAAGAGAACAAAGAGCAUUUUCCUGACCAAUACUUACACACUGGGUGCUUGGGGACCAAGUGAUGAAGCCCCAUGUGCAGCAGGAACUGCAGUUUGAGACACUCUGAUUACACUGACAAUCAUUCACUGUCAUCUCCAAGAUUCGUCUGUUUUCUAAGUAGGCUAAAUGAGUGACUUCAAUAAGGUUCCCGGGGACUGGAUGCUUGGGGUUGAACAAAAUCAGCUUUCAGCUUUAACUCUGACCCUCAGACUAGGAAAAUCUGAAGAACAAGAAGAAACUGCCACCCCAUCCACCUCUGCCCAUUAGUGGACAAAGUUUCUGGGGCUGUUUGAGUUCACUUUCUAGUAAAUGUUAGUGUUCAGUUUUGAACAAAGAUUUGAUUCCCCUUUUCUUCUAUUACAAAUUCAUUUCUUACUGUUACAUUCCUUAACAGCAGCCCAAAAACUGAUCAUGAAAUGCCUUGAGGGAGAGUUUCUGACUAUUACCUGAAGAUAGGCACAAGUUGAAAAACACAGCUCUAAGCGUUUCUUGGAAUAUCAGUGCUGGCUGAUAAGACAGGAACUGCCAUCUGCGGUUCAGAUUUCCAGUGGACUUGGCUUAUGUGUUCAAAUUCUGCAAAUGUUGCUGUUAGAAUCAGCAAGGGGCUGUCUCCUUGCAAGUGCUUGGAGCUGACAGCCUUGCAUUUAAUACUCGCAUGCAGAAUUUUCUCAAGAGCCCCUCCCCCACUUCUAGCACAUGAAGAAGUUGGGGAAAUGAGAAGAGGGGGCCCACAGAUGCCUUUAUGUCCAGACCCACUGCCCCACUCCCUCCACAGAGGCCUCAGGAGCCAAGGGGGCAGUGCUUGCAAGCCUAGGGCCUCCACUUUGCCUUCCAGGCUGCUCCCCCUGCUGCUGCUGCUGCUGCUGCUGCUGUUGCUAAGCUUGUUAGCACUUUCAGAAACUUAGGAGAGAAACACAAGCGCAACUUGGGCCUCACUGAGGUUUCGGUUCAGUGAACAGGUGAGCCUACAGCUCCCAGGAGUCAGCCUGACCUGGCCCUGCCCCUGCCAGUCCUUCAGUUCUAUCUGUGCUGUGAGUACCAGCGCUGGCCCUUCCUGCUGGGAACCUGUUAGCCGAUGCCGUUGCUGAGUGCCUCCUGCCUUGUGCAGCCGGCCGGGUAUGCAGCUGCCCCCAUGCUGCCCCCUCUCCACACAAUACCCUGGGACUCUGAUACUACGUUCAUGUCUUCUCUCAUUCAAGUUUUUAAUUUUAGCCAUUCUCAUGUGCAUUGUCUAUGUUUUCCACCUACAUUUCACUUCCAUGUCCCUCAUGAGUCAUUAAGAAAAAAAAAAGUCGAGCCACACAUGGACUUGGAGCAAAUUCUUGCAAGUCAUACCUCAACAAAGGACUUGUAUUUACAGUAUAUAAAGACCUGCUACAGCCCAAUGGCAAGAAGACAAGUAACCGUUCCUUGUUCCCCUGGAAACAGGAGGAAAGGCAAGUGAGGUGUCCCAGGAGUCCCGCCAGUUAGGUGAGGGAGAUGGCCCCCAUCACCAGCCAUUGUCAAACUUGACCUCCAUUGCUGCCCAGCCCUGGCCAUCCUUCCCUGGACUCCCAAAGUGUCCCCAGCCCUGACCCCACAUCCUGUCCCCAGCCUGCAGCACAAAAGGGUGGCGUCCUACUCUGAUGUAAACCUUUGUGUGGCCUUACCACUCUCAGACUAAGGGCCAAAGCUGCCUCCCCCUGGAAAACCGUGUGGUUUAACCCAGCCACUCUCCUCUUGGCCACAACAGAGGAGACUCCAGGAGCUCAGCCCUCUUAGGUUCUGGGUGGGCCUUCUUCACCGGUGUCCCAGUGCCCAGGACAGUGUCUACAAUGUGGUGGGUUUUGAUAAACUUGAUAUGUCAAAACCAUUAGCUCUCCUGCCUAAACCAGGAUGGGGCACUGGGGGAAGUUCAAGAGACUCUGUCAAGUUCCACAUAAUGGACGGCUACCCCUCAGCUUGGCAACCUGCUAUAUAGCCCUAUACCGUCCCUUAGCUGGAAGGGCCUGGGUCUCUGACACCAGUUCCCCGAAGGGAUUACUUACGAAAGUGACUCCAGGGGGCUGUUGCCUGGGGAAGAUGCUCAAGGUGGCGCUGUGAUGUGGUGAGGACCAGGGCGGGUGAGCCCACUGCCUCCAUGUGCUGACCGACAGCCUGAGCCCAAAGGCCCCAUCCUUCCCGGGCCUCUGCAUGGGAAGAUUCCUGGGGAACAGCCACACACAACUUCCUAGAGCUGAACCUGGCCAGCUGAGCCUAGAGGGCAGUCACUUUUCACCAGUGCUGAGCACACACGGACAGGUGGAGGCAGAGCGUCUGGCCAUCCACGUCCCUGUACACUCUGGAUUCUCUUCCCAGGCCCAGCACCCUCCUGGCGACCCAGGUGUGCCUGCUUCCGGGAGCGCCUUCCUUAUACACUGGAGGGCGGGACCAGGCCAGGUGGGGUGGGGCUCCAUUCCCCAGAGUUUCUGUGUUGGGAAGGGGACAGAGGUCGGGCCAGGGCCUCCCGUCCUCCUGUGGCCAGUGGGUGGGAACCCGCUUUCCGACGAACAGCUGUUCCGAUCCGUGUAUGGCUUGUUAGAGGUAAAACUUAUUUUUUCUAGGUAUUGGAAGAGCCUUUUGCCAUAUAUAUUAUAUACAUACAUCCUCCGUCGGACCUGGAGAUGGGGCUGAGGGAAGCGGGCAGUGAAUGGGAUUUUUUUUUUUCCUGUCAGAAAACGUGACAGGACAUGCUUAAAUAUAGCAUUACCUGGCAAAAAAAUAUCAUCCUUCCGUCCGGAUUCUACCUUUUUCAGUGAAUGGAUGUCAGCCAGAGGGGAGGAAGGGUCUCCGGUUUCGGGUUCCCGCCCAGCGCCUGCAGGCAUCCUCCCCUCCGCGCACAGCCUCAAGGGCCCCCCUGGGCUUCCCGACACUAAAGCGGCCUCGUCCCGUGGGGGCAUCAGGCUUAGACCCUCUGUGCCUGCUGCUUUCAAGUCAAGGCGGAAGACUUGGGUGUGGAGUUCACGUGGCCACUAGGAGUUCGUGGCUACUCGGAAAGCGCGUGUCUCCGCAGCCCAGGAUCACCCCCGACAAAAGCCGAUUGUGCCAAGGCAUUCCUCAAAUGAAAAGGGAAAUUAAUGAUUCCUUCUGUUAGAAUCCCUUUCCAUCCUAAAAACGGCAUUUUUGCAUACUUAUUCGUACAUUUCCUUAAUAGCCCUCGCAUAGAGAUGUGUACAGGUGCGAGGAGAGCAGUGAUUGUCCAAACCCUUAAAGAGCCCAACAGUGGCUCCUGCACUCAGACUCUUAGUAAUCACUCCUGGCUGGUGCUGGGGUGACUGUGACAGUGGUGACAGCGUUCACACGAAUAGCAUGUUCAACAGCAUGGGUCCUCUGAGACCUCUGGCAAUUUUAUGUAUCACCUCACUUUGCCACUCGCCACAUUUUGCCUUGUGUUGUAGUUAUUUCUAAACAAAUGCUUGAGUAGGAGGAUUGUGUUUACUUAUUUCCAUUUACUCCAUGAGGGAGAGCACUAGGUUCAUGUAUAUUAAUUAGUAAGUGCUUUAGGGUAUGUAUGUAAUUGAAAAUCUGUACACCUGAAACUCAUGUAUCAACUAUAUCUCGAUUUUAAAACAAGAAAGAAAUUGGUGGUAAUGGUUGUUCAGUAACUGCUUUUCUUAGAACCAUAUAGAAGUGCUUGGCCGUGGCCAAGAAUGUUUGACCACCUUGGUGCAAACUGCCUAGCUUAUUGCAGUAAUUUCCUAACUGGUUCCACCAAGUCUUUUCUUGCCACUCUUGAACAGAAUUUCUU